CGGCUGCCUAUAAUGCAGUCGAACGAGCUUCCGUUGAAUGACGUGCUUGCACUGAUUUCAACAAUGAAGCGAGUGGCGAACUGGUGAGUAACACGUGGGAAAUCUGCCCAGAAGCAGGGGAUAACACUUGGAAACAGGUGCUAAUACCGUAUAACAACAAAAUCCGCAUGGAUUUUGUUUGAAAGGUGGCUUCGGCUAUCACUUCUGGAUGAUCCCGCGGCGUAUUAGUUAGUUGGUGAGGUAAAGGCCCACCAAGACGAUGAUACGUAGCCGACCUGAGAGGGUAAUCGGCCACAUUGGGACUGAGACACGGCCCAAACUCCUACGGGAGGCAGCAGUAGGGAAUCUUCCACAAUGGACGAAAGUCUGAUGGAGCAAUGCCGCGUGAGUGAAGAAGGGUUUCGGCUCGUAAAACUCUGUUGUUAAAGAAGAACACCUUUGAGAGUAACUGUUCAAGGGUUGACGGUAUUUAACCAGAAAGCCACGGCUAACUACGUGCCAGCAGCCGCGGUAAUACGUAGGUGGCAAGCGUUGUCCGGAUUUAUUGGGCGUAAAGCGAGCGCAGGCGGUUUUUUAAGUCUGAUGUGAAAGCCUUCGGCUUAACCGGAGAAGUGCAUCGGAAACUGGGAGACUUGAGUGCAGAAGAGGACAGUGGAACUCCAUGUGUAGCGGUGGAAUGCGUAGAUAUAUGGAAGAACACCAGUGGCGAAGGCGGCUGUCUAGUCUGUAACUGACGCUGAGGCUCGAAAGCAUGGGUAGCGAACAGGAUUAGAUACCCUGGUAGUCCAUGCCGUAAACGAUGAGUGCUAAGUGUUGGAGGGUUUCCGCCCUUCAGUGCUGCAGCUAACGCAUUAAGCACUCCGCCUGGGGAGUACGACGUAUCAAAGUU
Molecule: ribosomal RNA, 889 nt
Filed under: Levilactobacillus brevis
Lineage: Bacteria; Bacillati; Bacillota; Bacilli; Lactobacillales; Lactobacillaceae
Description: bacterial SSU rRNA
Rfam family: Bacterial small subunit ribosomal RNA
Source: RNAcentral